UGAUCCACAUCCACGAAUGGACGGAGCAGUUUAUGGAGACAUCAACCUUGACAGUUCUGGUGUUAGGCAAAUAGCUGUUCCCCUGUGCUGGUGAAUGAUGAGAACAAACGUCAUGGCAGAGAUGGCUCGCUGCCUGCCAUGCUCUGCGGAGCCUUUGCAUAAAGAGAACGUCUAAUAAGCAUUCGGGCCUGGAUUCGUUGAAAUCACAUGGAGGCUGAGCUCAUUUUACUCAUGAUGCCGCGGGAGUGAUCGCGAAGGCAGCAUAUGUCAUACACUUCUUAAACACCAUUGCCAGCCAGUGACACAGCACCAUUCAGUCACGGAGAUUAAAAAUUAGUCAGACGUGGAAAAUAGAAACGGGGCUUCAUAAGAAGGAGGGAUGGUUGCACUGAAUGAUGUGCCCUCUUUUGCGUAGUAAAUAAAUGAUAUGUAUUUCCUGA
Mastomys coucha (southern multimammate mouse) is the source of this 440-nucleotide long non-coding RNA. RefSeq lists it as uncharacterized. The transcript has 2 exons. NCBI's taxonomy places the organism in Eukaryota, Metazoa, Chordata, Mammalia, Rodentia, Muridae. The record is from RefSeq and is a predicted model, not a curated record.